RNAcentral lists this ribosomal RNA (420 nucleotides) under uncultured bacterium. RNAcentral describes it as "bacterial SSU rRNA". It matches the Rfam family "Bacterial small subunit ribosomal RNA", at positions 355 to 775 of the family's 1533-position model. The record is from RNAcentral.
UGGGGAAUCUUGCGCAAUGGCCGAAAGGCUGACGCAGCGACGCCGCGUGGGGGAGGAAGGCCUUCGGGUUGUAAACCCCUGUUGCCCGGGACGAAUGCGCUCUAUUGGGGGCGUUGACGGUACCGGGUGAGGAAGCACCGGCUAACUCCGUGCCAGCAGCCGCGGUAAUACGGAGGGUGCGAGCGUUGUCCGGAAUCACUGGGCGUAAAGGGCGCGUAGGCGGCUCAUGAAGGCUGUGGUGAAAGUCCGAGGCUCAACCUCGGAUCGGCCGUGGCGACUCGUGGGCUGGAGCACUGUAGAGGCGGGUGGAAUUCCGGGUGUAGCGGUGGAAUGCGUAGAGAUCCGGAAGAACACCAGUGGCGAAGGCGGCCCGCUGGGCAGUGGCUGACGCUGAAGCGCGACAGCGUGGGGAGCAAACAG